This is a long non-coding RNA of Micropterus salmoides (largemouth bass), 1018 nucleotides long. RefSeq lists it as uncharacterized. The record is from RefSeq and is a predicted model, not a curated record. The transcript has 3 exons. Lineage: Eukaryota; Metazoa; Chordata; Actinopteri; Centrarchiformes; Centrarchidae.
UUGGUGUCUGUCUGUUUUCACCUGCCUGUGUCUCGUUAGUCUCAUGUCUGUCACCUGUGUUACUCCCGCCGUGCUCGUUAGUCCCUGGUGUAUAUAUGUUUGGUGUUUCUCUCCAGUCUUGGUCCGGUCAUUGUUUGUGUUACCCCCUGUCAGUCGUGACUUCAGUCUCGUCCAGCGUGUCGCCUCGCUGUUUUUCCCCGCUCUUGGUGUUUUGGAUUACCUGUGUUGGAUUUGUGUUUCGUUUCUCAUUUGGCUUUUUCUGGACUCAGCCACUCAGUAUGACCUGCUUCUUUGUACCUGUCUUUGUCGAUGAUGUGGCAGAUGAUGAGCGGGGCGAGGAGGAACAGGCUGUUGCUGGCCACAGCGGUCUCCGUCUGAACGUCGAUCUGAUGGAUGGGGAUCACCUCCCCCUCUGGUGUGGUCGUCUUCCUCACCACCUGCAGAUGGUGUUUAACAAUAAUUGUCAGAUGACUUAAAUCUUAUUAGAAGAACUCAGACAUAAAGGAUUGUGGGAGAUGGAAAUUUGCAGCAACUGUAUGUUUACACCUUUGUUUUAAAUACUAAAAAACUUUGCACUUGUUCCUCCUCUCAGAUUAGAUUUGUGGACUGUCCUCGGAUGCAGAUGUUUAAGAAAAAACUAGACAAUCACCUGUAACCUGACGGUCGCUCCUAUGAUCAUGCUCUUCCUCAGAUCCCCGAUACGAAUCAUGAAACACAGGCGGUUGUUUCUGACCGCGAUCACAGCGUAACGGCUGAAGAUCAGAGUCUCCGCUCGACGGUUUGACUGAGCCGUCUUCAUGAAGAUGCAACCUGAGGAGAGGAAACUAAUCAGCGAUCUAAUCUGGCCGUGAGGAUUUAUGUCUGCUUUACUGAUACGUCAGCAGGUCCAUCAUGUAUUGGUUGUCUAAGUUAACAGUGGUGGGAUGUAACUAUAGGCCAUUUCCUUGUAAGCAUGUGACCCCUGAACUGGGAAACAGUUUCCAAGUCUCACCCAGCAUGACAGCGUUGAUGAUGAGCC